Molecule: small nucleolar RNA, 73 nt
Filed under: Dufourea novaeangliae
Lineage: Eukaryota; Metazoa; Arthropoda; Insecta; Hymenoptera; Halictidae
Source: RNAcentral
UUGAAAUGAUGACAUAAUUGAUAUUGAUAUAUCCAUGAAAGAUAAUAUAACGAGCUUUUUAACACUGAAUAUA